AAUUUAUCCUUCCCCGUUUUGGCUGGAAAGGGGGGGGGGAGGUGAGAAGCAGCACGCAGGCGGGGUCGCGUCCGUCCCUCCUGGCCGGGCAGAGGAGGAGCGAUCUGGUGUUGCAAUUAAUUCCUCCCUCGCCGGUGCCAGAAUUGCAGCUGCGGAGCGGUUUUUAUGCAGCUCAUAACUCCUUUUAAUGUACAUCUGGCAGAAUCCUCACAUCCUGGGCUCGGCCCAUCUGGGAGACUCUUUUCCUCUCUCGAUCUCCUAUCCAGAGCCUGAAUCCUCAGCGCUGAGCAGGAGGAGCUCCUUCCUCCCGUCUCCUCGCUAGCAUUUAACCUCCCUUCGCCUGGGCUCCUUUUUCCCACAGAACCUCAUUAAAACCCUUUUUUCCCCAAUUUUUGGAGGGGGUUUCGCUCUGAUCAACGCCUCCCAGGGAGAAUCAGCCCUCACUGCUGACUUCAUCCCCUCUUUUCCUCUCCUCAGCAUCCCCCAGUUCGCAUCCUGUGCUGCACAGCAGAACCUCUCCCCCCCUUUCUCCCACCUCUCCCUGCAGCCCCACAGGUGGAAAUCCGACCCAAUCCCUCCCUGCUCCUCAAGGGUUAAAGAGGAAUUUCUCCGGCUUUGUGCCUCGCUUGUUUAAAAAGCAUCUGACUGCUUCGGAUUUGACAUCUCUCCCCUGUGGGUUUGUAGUUUUUUUUUGCAGAGCAGUUUCAUGUGUGCUUUGAACCGUGCCAACAACGCCGUUGCAACACUUGCCGAGGAGUUUUGCUCGCAGGGUGGAUCCCAGCCGGCAGAGCAGCAGCCGGUUGCCGGUUUCCUCCCUCACGUGCAGGGAAAAUUGAAGGUUCCCUCUGCUCCUCUCAGCAAAGCCUCUGCUCCUCGGCCGCCACUUUGUGCUGCUUCUGGCAAAGCCGUCGGAGAGUCGGAUUUUCCUUUUUGCCUGGGCCGAAGCCAAGGAGGGCAUGAGGAGGUAGGGAAGAAAACGGGCUGGGUUUUGGAUAGCGAGCAUCACUGCCUGCUCCCAGCACGCAGGCAGAGGCUCUGCAGCUCCCAUCUGGGUCCCUCAGGCUGGGAGAAGCCGUUUGCUGUGGGCUGGGAGCUGCUGCUGGCUGCCUGCAUGCGAGGAGGGGGGUUUUCCUGCAUUCAGGCCGGAUGUUUUUCCCAAUGCAUGGAGGAAAUGAGGGGCUGGGCUGCCACACCGGGCUCAGAAACGCAGAUCUCUGCCACCUUCAUCAUCCUCUGUGCUUUGUGAGCACCUGUGGGGAGCAGAUGGAGCCUGCUGUGCCUUGGAGGAAUCGUGGCACUGCAAGCAGCCUCAUCUGUGCUCUGUUUCGGGGUGAUUUCCUGCCUGUUUGGUGUCGCCUUGCUGUUCCCCAACCCCCAUAACUCUAACCCCGACCCCAAGCACUUCAACCAUUCCUCCCCGUUCUCUUCCAUGGGCUGCUGAAACGCCACGUGUGCCACAAGCAGAGGCACCCGACCUGCACCGAGGGGACGUCAGCUGAGCCCCCCCACCCAAAAGGUGCCAGCGACCCCCCUGCAGAUGUGAGCAGUGAGUACCUGGCCACGCUGGCAGUGCAGUUGGAGCUCCUCUGCACGACACCCAUUAAAAACUCCCAUUAAGUCA
Long non-coding RNA from Centrocercus urophasianus (Greater sage-grouse), 1621 nucleotides. RefSeq lists it as uncharacterized. The transcript has 2 exons. Lineage: Eukaryota; Metazoa; Chordata; Aves; Galliformes; Phasianidae. The record is from RefSeq and is a predicted model, not a curated record.